RNAcentral lists this ribosomal RNA (475 nucleotides) under uncultured bacterium. RNAcentral describes it as "bacterial SSU rRNA". It matches the Rfam family "Bacterial small subunit ribosomal RNA", at positions 28 to 504 of the family's 1533-position model. The record is from RNAcentral.
GACGAACGCUGCCGUCGUGCUUAACACAUGCAAGUCGAACGGAAAGGCCGGGUGCUUGCACCCGGUACUCGAGUGGCGAACGGGUGAGUAACACGUGGGUGAUCUGCCCUGCACUUCGGGAUAAGCCUGGGAAACUGGGUCUAAUACCGGAUAGGACCAUUGGUUGGUACUGGUGGUGGAAAGUUUUUCGGUGCAGGAUGAGCUCGCGGCCUAUCAGCUUGUUGGUGGGGUAAUGGCCUACCAAGGCGGCGACGGGUAGCCGGCCUGAGAGGGUGGACGGCCACAUUGGGACUGAGACACGGCCCAGACUCCUACGGGAGGCAGCAGUGGGGAAUAUUGCACAAUGGGCGCAAGCCUGAUGCAGCGACGCCGCGUGGGGGAUGACGGCCUUCGGGUUGUAAACCUCUUUCAGUAGGGAACAAGGCCUCCUUGAUGGGGGUGGAGGGUACCUGCAGAAGAAGUACCGGCUAACUAC